RNAcentral lists this ribosomal RNA (427 nucleotides) under uncultured prokaryote. RNAcentral describes it as "bacterial SSU rRNA". It matches the Rfam family "Bacterial small subunit ribosomal RNA", at positions 355 to 774 of the family's 1533-position model. The record is from RNAcentral.
CUAAGAAUAUUCCGCAAUGGACGAAAGUCUGACGGAGCGACGCCGCGUGGAUGAAGAAGGCCGCAAGGUUGUAAAAUCCUUUUGCUGGGGAAGAAUAAGUCCAGGAGGGAAUGCCUGGAUGAUGACAUGAACCGGCGAAUAAGCCCCGGCCAACUACGUGCCAGCAGCCGCGGUAACACGUAGGGGGCAAGCGUUGUUCGGAAUUACUGGGCGUAAAGGGCAUGUAGGCGGUUUAGUAAGCUUGGCGUGAAAGACCACGGCUUAACUGUGGGGUUGCGUUGAGAACUGCUGAACUUGAGUUACGGAGAGGGAGCUAGAAUUCCUGGUGUAGGGGUGGAAUCUGUAGAGAUCAGGAAGAAUACCAAUGGCGAAGGCAAGCUCCUGGCCGAUGACUGACGCUGAGGUGCGAAAGUGUGGGGAUCAAACA